CCAUUUUUUUUUUUUUCAAGAAGAGUGUUUUUUUUUUCAGAUUUAUCUCCCUCCCUCUCUUGAUUUCUCUCCCUAAUCCGUGCCCGGCACCAGAUCCGGCCCCAGAUCCGGCCCCAGAUUUGCGCCCGGCCCCAGAUCUGGCCCCAGAUCCUCGCCGGCGUGAUCCGGCAAAGACGGAUCCCGCCGGCUUGGCCGGAUCCGCGCCGGCGAGCUUCGGCUUUGCCGGAUCCAGCCUCGGAUCCGCCUUUGAGCCGGAUCCGGGCAUGGAUCACGCCAGCGGGAUUCGGCAAAGUCGGAUCCCGCCGUCUUGGCCGGAUCGGAGCCGACAGGGGAAUCGAAUGCAUGUCUCUACCUUUAGCAGACAUGUUAAUUAUCAUAAAUCUGCAUGAUCUUUAAGUUAAAAAAAGAUCAACAAUGGCAUUAUAGUGUUCUCCACAACAUUAAUAUAUGGAUUUUCUGAAACAAAGCCUUCUAUGUGUUCCACCAUUCUUGCAUCAUGACCUCUAUUUUAGGUGGUUGUGCUUCUACAACUAAUUUCCACAAUUAGAAAACAAAUAGUGCUUAUAAAUUAUUAACAUUGGUAAAGUUCUUUGGUUAGUUGUUGUCCAAUACAUAGUUUAGAAAAUGGGCUUUUACAUUUAUAUCUCUCUGCAAACACAGCUAUUUACAUAUAUAUGUUCCAUUGUAAACUUUGAACUUUCAUAUACUUCUCAAAAAAUGCUCUUUCUUAUAGAAAGAGCCAUAUUUUACAUUGGAGAGUUAUCCAAUUCAUAGGGUAGAUGGUUUAGUAUCUGGAAAGGUUUACCUAGUAGAUGGUAGUUGGUAGUAGAUGGUAGUUUACAUUGGAGAGUUAUCCAAUUUAUAUACUCGAAUUUUCCAGUGUGUUGUUAAAAUAGCAUUCAGAACAAACCAAAAUUCUAGUAGAUGGUAGUUUUAGUAUUUCGAACUUUCUUCAAGUUUGGAACUUGAAGAAGCAUCAAGCAAUUUUGAAUCUAACUCUUGUUCUACUAUCUCUUUGUUACGAAAAUUGAUUAUGCCUUCCUUUCUGGUCACUCCCAAGCACCAUGAAAGAACACUAGUAGUUUACAUGCUAUGAAAAUCACUUUUAGGCCUAUACCUGCAAACACCCAACAAAUUCAAUGGGUACAACUCAACUUUUGAGUACAAUAUGUGUUGGAAGGGAAAUGAAUGCAUGCAUCUAGGAAUUUAUUUUCAGUGAUUAUUUUGUGAAAUUUAUUGUAUAAAUGUAUCAAUUAUUUAGUGACUUUUUAUUUGUAUUUAUCUUUUAAUUCAUAUUUGUUUACUAGAAAUCUGAAAGAUGAAUUCAUCACAAGGAGAACCAUCUACCCAAAAAGAAAAAAAAAAUUAAAGCUACGUGGGAUGCAACGUUGCUUAAAUUUUUUUGCGAAAUAUGUGUUGAAGAGGUUAAUGCCAGGAACCGACCUAAUACUCAUUUGAAUAGAAUUGGAUGGCAAAAUGUGGUUAAUAAAUUUCGAGAGAAAGCAAAUAGAGCUUAUGACAAAAUACAAUUGAAAAAUAAAUGAGAUUCUCUUAGAAGGGAUUGGGUUUUAUGGAUGCAAUUAGUCGGUAAAGAAACAGGAUUAGGAUGGAAUCAUGCAAGGGGUACCAUUGAUGCCAGUCUUGAAUGGUGGGAGGAGAAAUUAAAGGUUAGUAUAAAAUAUAAUUUUUAGCUUAGUCAUACUGUAUGUUUUCUUUAUAAUUCUCAUGAAACAAAAUCCUAGAACUUUAACACUUUCUGGAUGGCAAUGGGUUCAAGAGACCUUACGAACCCCAGGGGAGAGUUAUAGAAUGCUUCGUAUGGAGUCUGAAGUAUUUAAAAGAUUAGCUUCGUUGCUUACUAAUAAUUAUGGUUUACAAUCAACUCGAGCAAUGCAUGCAGAGGAGGCGCUUGCGAUAUUUCUUUUGGUUUGUGGACACAAUGAAACAAAUUGUAAUAUUCAAAACCGUUUCAAGCAUUCAGGUGAAACAAUUAGUAGAAAAUUUAAUGAAGUUCUUGAUAGUUUAGUUCGAUUUUCUGUUGACAAAAUUAAACAGUUGGAUCCUUCAUUUAGUACAAUCCCUCCUCAAAUUCACAACAAUGUUAGGUUCUGGCCUCAUUUUGAAGGAGCUAUUGGUGCAAUUGAUGGAACACUUAUUCGUGCUGUUAUACCUAAAAAAGAUCAAAUUCCAUAUAUUGGUAGAAAGCCCUACCCAAUGCAAAAUAUAAUGGUUGUUUGUGAUUUCAAUAUGGUGUUCACAUUUGCUGUUGCCGGUUGGCCGGGAGCCACGCAUGAUGCAUGAAUUUUCACUACUACUUUGAAUAACUAUGGUCAUAUAUUUCCACAUCCUCCUGAAGGUAAGUACUAUCUUGUAGACGCAGGGUAUCCCAAUAUAAAAGGAUAUUUAGGACCUUAUGCUGGCGGAGAUGUUAGAUAUUAUUUUUCCGAAUUUAGACGGGGGUCUCAACCACGAGGUUAUAAAGCAGUGUUUAAUCAUGCACAUUCAUCCUUGAGGAAUGUUAUUGAACGAUCAUUUGGUGUACUUAAAGCACGGUGGCGUAUAUUACAAAUGAUGCAAGGUUAUCUAGUGCCAACUCAAUCAAAAAUAGUGUCUGCAACUAUGGCACUUCACAACUUUAUUAGGAUGAGUUCAACGCAAGAUGAAGAGUUCAACGCAAGAUGAAGAGUUCAACAAAUGUGAUCAAUAUAUAAAUUAUAUACCAAACAUUGAAGAAGAUGAAAGCAGUACAAGUAGUUCAACACAGACUUAUAGUGGAGUAACAGAUGAUUACAUCAUGACCCAAACUCGAGAUCGUAUUGCUGCAUCAUUGAUGAGUACAUUUUUAUAAAUUGUUAUCCUAAUGGAUAUUUAUCAUUAAGAUGGUUUUGUUA
Molecule: long non-coding RNA, 2891 nt
Organism: Ananas comosus (pineapple)
Lineage: Eukaryota; Viridiplantae; Streptophyta; Magnoliopsida; Poales; Bromeliaceae
Exons: 2
Source: RefSeq, a predicted model, not a curated record